UCACGUUUUUACAGCUCAAAAAUGAGCUGAGCAGCACGAAAAGAAACCUUCAUUCACAUAAUUGGCGGCUGAAUGCCAAUGGCACAAAGCUGCCAUCUGCUGGAUAAUGGCUGAACGCCUCUAAGUCAGAAUCCAUGCUGAAAACGAUACUACUGUGUUUUGAUUGUGCAAAAUGAGCAUUACUAAUAAAACUUCGGCUUGAAAAAUUUACUUGCGAGCUAGAUUUAGUAGCAGAAACGCUGCUAAAUCUACUUACUAAUGAUGCUAUGACCGAUACAUCAAAAUGAUAAAGCGCAUGCAGACAACAUGGAUUGGAUGUGGUAUUGCAAGUACUAGAGUGGCCUUAUCAGUUGCGAGGACGAGCUGAAAUCAAGCUUCUGUCAUUAUAUUU
This 391-nucleotide non-coding RNA is filed under the name Mucor circinelloides 1006PhL. RNAcentral's name for it is "Mucor circinelloides f. circinelloides 1006PhL Eukaryotic large subunit ribosomal RNA". It matches the Rfam family "Eukaryotic large subunit ribosomal RNA", at positions 3003 to 3401 of the family's 3401-position model. The record is from Rfam by way of RNAcentral. Lineage: Eukaryota; Fungi; Mucoromycota; Mucoromycetes; Mucorales; Mucoraceae.